UGUAGGAGCGAGCCUGCUCGCGAUAGCGGUGGGUCAGCCAAUACUAAUACCGACUGAUACACCGCUAUCGCGAGCAGGCUCGCUCCCACA
This 90-nucleotide unclassified non-coding RNA is filed under the name Pseudomonas frederiksbergensis. Lineage: Bacteria; Pseudomonadati; Pseudomonadota; Gammaproteobacteria; Pseudomonadales; Pseudomonadaceae. The record is from RNAcentral.